UACGGAGGGGGCUAGCGUUGUUCGGAAUUACUGGGCGUAAAGCGCGCGUAGGCGGCUUUGUAAGUCAGAGGUGAAAUCCCGGGGCUCAACCCCGGAACUGCCUUUGAAACUGCAUCGCUUGAAUCCGGGAGAGGUGAGUGGAAUUCCGAGUGUAGAGGUGAAAUUCGUAGAUAUUCGGAAGAACACCAGUGGCGAAGGCGGCUCACUGGACCGGCAUUGACGCUGAGGUGCGAAAGCGUGGGGAGCAAAC
RNAcentral lists this ribosomal RNA (250 nucleotides) under uncultured bacterium. RNAcentral's name for it is "partial 16S ribosomal RNA". It matches the Rfam family "Bacterial small subunit ribosomal RNA", at positions 524 to 773 of the family's 1533-position model. The record is from RNAcentral.